Long non-coding RNA from Daucus carota subsp. sativus, 596 nucleotides. RefSeq lists it as uncharacterized. The transcript is spliced from 2 exons. NCBI's taxonomy places the organism in Eukaryota, Viridiplantae, Streptophyta, Magnoliopsida, Apiales, Apiaceae. The record is from RefSeq and is a predicted model, not a curated record.
UACGAUCCAAAGGGGUACCAAUUAUUUGUAAAUAUAAAUAGACUUUCCUGUAACUUAUUUUCACCAUAAAAAUCAUUUCACCAGUUUCUUUUCACGAAUACCGAGAGAAACCGAGCGGUGUUCUUCGUGUUCUUCAUAAUCAAACGAAGAUUUGAAGGUGUUAUUGGAAUCCGAUGGAGGCGUAUGAAUAGUCAAAACGAAGCUAUCGACGCGUAGAAUCCAGUUUAAUCAAUCAUAACCGUGCAGAUUUCACGGAAAGGCUUAAAGAUGAGAUGAUUGAUUGAGAUUGUGAAUAAGGCUAAUGCUAGGCGAGGAGACAGAGUUGAGGAUCCAGUGGUCGAGGAGUGUUCAGGAAAGUUGAUGAGGUUGGUGCAAGCUAGAGCUGUGCUAUAAGGAUUCAAGUGUAAGUCAUAGCUGGAAUAGUUGACAGUGAUUCUUCUUAUUGAGGAUGAUCUGAUUUGGUAAGAGAUGUUGUGUAAUAAUAGUGGUAGAUUCUAAUUUCAAUGCUGUAACCUGGAUGCGAUCCUGUUGCUUUUAGGGGGUUUAAAUGUUCUCUUUCGAAUCAGUUAUUAAAGUUUAAAUGUUCUCUUGAAAUU